UACAUGAGGAGCAAGCGUUACCCACAUUGACUGGGUGUAUUAAAUACAUAGGUGAUUACAAAUACUACUUUAAAAGUCAAUUAAAAACCUAAUAUAGUAGUUUUUUUGUAAAUGAUAAUUAAAUAUAAGGAUAGGAGAUUUAUAGAACAACGAUUAAAUGUAGUUACACUAUAGAGCUUGCCAUAAACUAAGGUGCUUUCCUAUAUUUAAUUAUAGCUGAUGUAUGAAAGUACGGGGAUCGAUAAGGAUUAGUUUCCCUAGUAGUCCGUACUGUAAAAGAUGAAUACUUCAUGAAUUAAAUAUUCAGGGAUAGCUAACGCAAAGUAUUCUACUCGGGGAGUAUAAUCGCAAGAUUAAAACUUAACUGAAUUGGCGGGAAUUUGUUCGAACGGUGGAACAUGUGGUUUAAUGCGAUAAUCCACGCAAAAUCUUACCAACGUUUCAGGCUUUAUCAGUAGUAUGAUUAAUAUCAAAAUUAUAUGAUUUAGUACGGAAUUGCAUGGCUGUCGUCAGUUCGUGCUGUGAAGUUUAGGAUUAAGUUCUUUUUAACGAAUGCAACCCUAUAAGUAAGUUUUUAUUUUAAAAUAACUUAAUUUUUUAAAUAUACUUAUUUAAUCUAUAAUUAGAAUAUAUUGAAUCUAUUCUGUAUAUUCUUUUAUAGGGGUUAUAGGCUGAAGUCAAGUCCCUAUGGUCUUUAUACGUUGGGCUACACACGUGUUACAAGGGUAAAUACAAAAAGACGCAAAAAAGUAAUUUUGAGCAAACCUUUAAAAAUUACCUUAGUUCAGAUUGUUUUAUGAAAUUCUAAAACAUGAAGAUGAAAUCGUUAGUAAUUGUAAAUUAUUAUGUUACAGUGAAACAAUAGUCAAAUUUUGCACACACCGCCCAUCACGCUCGGAAAGUCAAUAAUAGCGGAAGAUUUGAAAAACUCUGCGCAAAACUAAUAUUAUUUUUAUAUUAGUUGUCAUUAUAUUAUUUUUUAAUGGCAUGGUUGAAAAGUAGUAUCCAAUCUAGUAUUGGUAAUUUGAGUGAAGUUG
This 1037-nucleotide ribosomal RNA is filed under the name Tetrahymena thermophila. Its description in RNAcentral is "SSU rRNA". It matches the Rfam family "Bacterial small subunit ribosomal RNA", at positions 524 to 1488 of the family's 1533-position model. The record is from RNAcentral. Lineage: Eukaryota; Ciliophora; Oligohymenophorea; Hymenostomatida; Tetrahymenidae.